CGAGACCUCAAGUCCAUGGUUCUGGAGAGCCUUUAGUCCAGCAAAGACUCAUAGGUAAACAGUCAAUUACAGAAGAGUGAGACAUGAAGCAUGAAUAAGACUUAAUCAGUUGAUGCUAAAUGUUCAAGAGGAAAUUAUUUGAACAGCUGUCCUUUGCUGUACCUCUCCACCAUGAUGUUUCUGCCUUGCCACAGACCUAAAGCAAUGGAGCCACCAACCAUGGACUGAAACCUCUCAAACCGGCACACGGAAGGUUCGUGCCUAUGGACUGCAUUUCAUACCUCCAGUUACCACAGAGUGAAUUAUGGGAAAGGACAUGCGUGACCGGACGCGGACCUGACUCAGCUGCCUGUCAGUCACGUCUUCAAUCACGCCCUGGACGACUCAGUGGGAGGCGCUCUAGACCUGGCCGGACAUCUUAAAUUGUUAAACCCAACACCUCAGCGCUUGUGACAUUUUCCUUUCAGCCACCAGGAGCCGCUCCCUCUGAGCGUACCAUCACCUGAUUAAAGCUGCUGCUGUUUCUUUACUGUAGUGUGCCACUUGCAGCUCUUUGUUCAUCAUGCACAAGAACCUAGGAACCCGUCUGCGAGGGACCUUGCCACCCACGGGCUGUGCACAGAGCGCCCACCUCGCUGUGAAUCCCGGGGUGGGGAGCAGCAGGCAAGAAAGGGGUGUCCCCCUCACCGCACAGCCCUCCUUCGGAAGAGUGUGGGGCGGCUUCCAGAAGCAGCCAUGAGCAGUCCUCCCACCCACACCUGGCUGAGGUCAGUCCCCAGGAGAGCAGCAGGAUGUCAGGGAGACGCAAUGAGGAGUGUGAGAGAGAUCGGACCCGGGCCGUGCAAAGGGAGGCUGCAGAACUCUGGUGCGAGUGAGCCGGAGGGCGCGUGGUUAGGGAAGGGAGAACCUCUUCAGCGCUGCUUCCGGCCUGGCUGCCAUAUUGUUCCAUUCUUAAAUGGGCCCCAAAGGCUCAGUGUUGGAGUGCUGCUGGGAAAAGGUGGAACUAGGGGCCUAGUUCUUG
Molecule: long non-coding RNA, 1021 nt
Organism: Heterocephalus glaber (naked mole-rat)
Lineage: Eukaryota; Metazoa; Chordata; Mammalia; Rodentia; Bathyergidae
Source: Ensembl